UUCCAGGAUUCUCCCAAAGAGCUUGGCUGCCUCCAGGGCACAUCCCCAGUGGAUGGUGAGCCCGUAGCCUCCAUGGCCAUAGUUGUGGAUGACCUAGGAGAGGCAAGAGAGAAGGUGGCCAGGUCCGAGAGGGACAGUGGAAAGAAUAGAUGAAGCUCUUCUGCCCUGGAAGACUCAGGAGCCUCCCGAAGAGUCCUGGGCAAAGCCAGAUGCCACCUGAGCUUCUCUUGGCACCGGGGUGGAAUGGUGGGGACCCCCUGGAACAGUUGCAAGAGAUGAUGGGGCAGCCACAAAAUGGAUAUCUGGAAAUAGCCUUGGAGUCAAAUUCAAAUCACAUCCCAGCCCUGCCUUCCACCAGUGGUCUGACUUGGGCAAGUGACUUCACCUCUUAAUUCACCCCAGUUUCCUCAUCCGAAGCAUAGGGAGAACUGUCCCUAUCCCAAAGAGCUCCAGAGGAGAUUUAAUAAGGUCAUUCAUGUAAUGGACUUGCUGCUGUGUCUGACACGAAGUACACAUCCAACAUUUGCAGAAGACACGUUGGAACCCCAGCUCUGUCUACAGAUGAGAUGAUCUCAUCUCAAGCACGCAUCGUGAGCCCCUAAGCUCCCCAACCCAGCCCCAGUGACUCUCACCACGAGUAAGUUAAGGGACACACACAUUGCAAGACGCUACUAUUGUUCCUGAGUGAAUGACUGAGAAUGAGGACUGCAUUGGGUCGACCAUGUAUCUUCGGUGUCCAUCAGGGCCUGACCAGAGCAGGUUAGUCUUCAUGACAUAGCACUAGUAGCUACAUGUACGGAGCGCCUUCCUUGUGCCAAGCAGGGUUUUAGAUGCUGGGAUUGAAUGAAGCCAUACAGUAAAGCUCUUUUUGCUGGUGCCUGGA
Molecule: long non-coding RNA, 883 nt
Organism: Homo sapiens (human)
Lineage: Eukaryota; Metazoa; Chordata; Mammalia; Primates; Hominidae
Exons: 2
Source: RefSeq, a predicted model, not a curated record